Molecule: long non-coding RNA, 417 nt
Filed under: Capra hircus (goat)
Lineage: Eukaryota; Metazoa; Chordata; Mammalia; Artiodactyla; Bovidae
Description: lncRNA (ENSCHIG00010019292.1)
Source: RNAcentral
AUGCUCAGCAGCUGGAUCUGCAGUGUGAGUGAAGACACCCAGGAUGGCUCAGGGAUCCGGGGAUCAGAAAGCAGUGGGGAUCACGGACCCGGAGGAGAGUUCUCCAAAUAUGAUAGUCUACCGCAAAGAACCAAGACCCAGAGACGCCGCAGAGUGCUGGCUGGUUGCCAGGAACCCACGGAGAGUCGAGCUGCAGGAUGGACACAGGCGAGAACUCGGGGACCAGGGUGCGUUCACGUGUGUCAGGAACACACAGGUCCUGCCAUUUUCCCCCAGAAUCGCAUCCUCCCCUUUACUGAGGGGUCACAGACUUUAAACCAGUACUUUAUUGAAGAGAUUUUGUUUGCCUGGUUGUUUGUUUUUUUAAGUGAAAAAGAGCAUAUUGAGCUGUUGGAAGUGUUGGGCUGUGUGUUCUGA